UGAAGCCCCCCUCAAGAUGAGAUAUCCCAUCGCGAAAGCGAGUAAGACCCCUUGAAGACGACGAGGUAGAUAGGUUAGAGGUGGAAGUGCAGUAAUGUAUGGAGCUGACUAAUACUAAUCGGUCGAGGGCUUAUCCAA
This 138-nucleotide ribosomal RNA is filed under the name Enterocloster bolteae. RNAcentral's name for it is "partial 23S ribosomal RNA". It matches the Rfam family "Bacterial large subunit ribosomal RNA", at positions 2788 to 2925 of the family's 2925-position model. Lineage: Bacteria; Bacillati; Bacillota; Clostridia; Lachnospirales; Lachnospiraceae. The record is from RNAcentral.